AUUUGGUUCUGCUGCUGCCCCCGCAUUAACUGCACUUUUGAAGAUGGGUUCUUGGCUCCCACCUGAAGAAUUUAGCGCCAAGAUACUACCAACAGUUGUUAAACUUUUUGCCUCAAAUGACCGGGCUAUUCGAGUUGGUCUCCUGUAGCAUGCUGAUCAACUUGGAGAGUCACUGUCAGCCCAAAUUGUUGAUGAGCAAGUUUACCCUCAUGUUGCUACAGGGUUCUCUGAUACUUCUGCUUUUCUUCGG
Cornus florida is the source of this 250-nucleotide long non-coding RNA. RefSeq lists it as uncharacterized. The transcript is spliced from 3 exons. Lineage: Eukaryota; Viridiplantae; Streptophyta; Magnoliopsida; Cornales; Cornaceae. The record is from RefSeq and is a predicted model, not a curated record.